CGGAUAGUCGUCGCCCAACUAUUACUCAUAUGCUCCCCAAAUAUCGCCUAAUUUUUUAUUUCAUCACACGAGUCCUCAAACCUCGCAAGUUCAAUCACCCCACUCUAUCAAAAGAGGACGCAAAAAUCUUACAUGCAAUUAUGACCGGGGCUCGCAUAAAUUGGUGCCUGUUCGUCAUGACACAUAUGUAUGACGCUAUUGGAAACGGUAGACCACUCCCUUAUGCCUUACUCAUAAUGGCUCUUCUUGAAGCCGCCGGCAUCGACACC
Molecule: long non-coding RNA, 269 nt
Filed under: Nicotiana benthamiana
Lineage: Eukaryota; Viridiplantae; Streptophyta; Magnoliopsida; Solanales; Solanaceae
Description: long non-coding RNA (NBEN_LNC029723)
Source: RNAcentral